Molecule: transfer RNA, 77 nt
Filed under: Parcubacteria group bacterium
Lineage: Bacteria
Also listed under: 1 other name
Description: tRNA-Ile
Rfam family: tRNA
About the family: Transfer RNA (tRNA) molecules are approximately 80 nucleotides in length. Their secondary structure includes four short double-helical elements and three loops (D, anti-codon, and T loops).
Source: RNAcentral
GGGCGAUUAGCUCAGUUGGUUAGAGCGCGUCACUGAUAAUGACGAGGUCCCAGGUUCGAAUCCUGGAUCGCCCACCA